This 575-nucleotide unclassified non-coding RNA is filed under the name Hevea brasiliensis (rubber tree). Lineage: Eukaryota; Viridiplantae; Streptophyta; Magnoliopsida; Malpighiales; Euphorbiaceae. The record is from RNAcentral.
ACCAAGUACCUCUCCGCAAGCACUACAAAAAUAUUAUUAAAAUAUUACAAGCAAUUAAAGGAUGCAAUUCUGAAAAUAAUAUCAACUGUAGAAACUUAAAAACAAAGUUACGAAAUUAAGGAAAUUAAUACAAAUUAAAGGGGCACAUUUAUCCUUUUAAAGUGUUCGAUGUGCCUUUGCAUGAAUACUAAGCCCAGAAUUCUCAAGAGUGCAGAGAUGAACAGCCGAGAGCUUUUGAAUUGGUCAGGAGUAGCCAAGAGAUUGGAUAGCAUACAACUCAACUCAGUUAAGUAGUAUGGAAAUCUCUUUAGCAGGGAACAUUUUUCAUCUUUGCAAUUGGCAUGUUUUUUAGGUAAUUAGCAUCACCUUCUAACUCAGCAUUUACGAAAUUUCAGACAUGCAGCCUUAUCUUUUUGCCUUUUUCAUUUUCUCUUUUCAAUCUCUUACCCUCUAAAUUGUAUUAAUUUACAUGCACAACGUCAAAAAGAUAACCUGAUUCAUUUUCCAUAAAAAAGAUACACAUAUAAAUAAAUUACAAAAAAAAUAAAUCAUUUAAAGGAAUUUUCUUGCCUAGA